AUUGAACGCUGGCGGCAUGCUUUACACAUGCAAGUCGAACGGCAGCGCGGGCUUCGGCCUGGCGGCGAGUGGCGAACGGGUGAGUAAUGCAUCGGAACGUGCCCAGUAGUGGGGGAUAGCCCGGCGAAAGCCGGAUUAAUACCGCCUACGACCUGCGGGUGCAAGCGGGGGGCCGAAAGGCUCGGCGGGUGGGGAGGGACCGACGGCGGAGCAGCCAGUUGGUGGGGUAGAGGCUUACCAAGGCGACGAUCGGUAGCCGGCCUGCGAGGGCGACCGGCCACAGUGGGACUGAGAGACGGCCCAGACUCCUACGGGAGGCAGCAGUGGGGGAUAGUGCACAAUGGGCGGAAGCCUGAUGCAGCAACGCCGCGUGCGGGAUGACGGCCUUCGGGUUGUAAACCGCUUUCGCCUGUGACGAAGCGUGAGUGACGGUAAUGGGUAAAGAAGCACCGGCUAACUACGUG
RNAcentral lists this ribosomal RNA (464 nucleotides) under uncultured bacterium. RNAcentral describes it as "partial 16S ribosomal RNA". It matches the Rfam family "Bacterial small subunit ribosomal RNA", at positions 28 to 507 of the family's 1533-position model. The record is from RNAcentral.